RNAcentral lists this ribosomal RNA (402 nucleotides) under uncultured bacterium. RNAcentral's name for it is "bacterial SSU rRNA". It matches the Rfam family "Bacterial small subunit ribosomal RNA", at positions 355 to 774 of the family's 1533-position model. The record is from RNAcentral.
UCGGGAAUUUUGGGCAAUGGGCGAAAGCCUGACCCAGCAACGCCGCGUGAGGGAUGAAGUAUUUCGGUAUGUAAACCUCGAAAGAAUGGGAAGAAUAAAUGACGGUACCAUUUAUAAGCUCCGGCUAACCACGUGCCAGCAGCCGCGGUAAUACGUAGGGAGCAAGCGUUGUUCGGAUUUACUGGGCGUAAAGGGCGCGUAGGCGGCGCGGUAAGUCACUUGUGAAAUCUCUGAGCUUAACUCAGAACGGCCAAGUGAUACUGCUGCGCUAGAGUGCGGAAGAGGCAACCGGAAUUCUUGGUGUAGCGGUGAAAUGCGUAGAUAUCAAGAGGAACACCUGAGGCGAAGGCGGGUUGCUGGGCCGACACUGACGCUGAUGCGCGAAAGCCAGGGGAGCAAACG